Molecule: ribosomal RNA, 425 nt
Filed under: uncultured bacterium
Lineage: Bacteria
Description: partial 16S ribosomal RNA
Rfam family: Bacterial small subunit ribosomal RNA
Source: RNAcentral
GUGGGGAAUAUUGCACAAUGGGGGAAACCCUGAUGCAGCGACGCCGCGUGAGUGAAGAAGUAUUUCGGUACGUAAAGCUCUAUCAGCAAGGAAGAAAAUGACGGUACUUGACUAAGAAGCCCCGGCUAACUACGUGCCAGCAGCCGCGGUAAUACGUAGGGGGCAAGCGUUAUCCGGAUUUACUGGGUGUAAAGGGCGCGUAGACGGUAUGGUAAGUCAGAUGUGAAAGCCCGGGGCUCAACCCCGUGACUGCAUUGGAAACUAUCAGACUGGAGUGCAGGAGAGGUAAGUGGAAUUCCUAGUGUAGCGGUGAAAUGCGUAGAUAUUAGGAGGAACACCAGUGGCGAAGGCGGCUUACUGGACUGUAACUGACGUUGAGGCUCGAAAGCGUGGGGAGCAAACAGGAUUAGAAACCCCGGUAGUCC